Labeo rohita (rohu) is the source of this 2940-nucleotide long non-coding RNA. RefSeq lists it as uncharacterized. The record is from RefSeq and is a predicted model, not a curated record. NCBI's taxonomy places the organism in Eukaryota, Metazoa, Chordata, Actinopteri, Cypriniformes, Cyprinidae. The transcript is spliced from 3 exons.
UGGGGUGGGGGUCCGAGACCCUUCAAUGAGAGAACAAAACCCUUUCAUAAACACACACACUCAAGUUCACCCCUUACAACUGCCCCUAUUUUCACACCCCUACAAAAAAAGGUUUGAAAAGUGGAGGGUGCAAGAGUGCACUGGGUGCACAGCACACGUAUUUGUCCUUAUUAGUACAUAGCUAAUUGCUAAAAUGUUAGGAUCAUGAAUCCGAAUAAACGGAAAGGGAUUUCUUUUCUGUAUUUUACUUUUUCUGCAUUACGUGACUUGAUUUGUGACUAGUGUCUUUCAAAUUUAUCAGAAAUAUUACACACAAAUGAGUAAGCCAACAGGUCAAGGGUUUAAUGUAAUGCAAGAGACUGAAUAAUCACAUACUGCGUACAACAAAACAAAAAAAACUUCUACUUUCGGUGAUCCAACGAUUGUUGUCUGCCAUAACCGACUUUGCUGACUCAGCAAUUUUCAGCUUAUUUUUUUUCUUUUACAAUGAUGUCCUCUUCAACUCCAUCAAAUUGCAAAUUGCAAAACAAAACCACACGUCUAUUUAGAGAGAAGACAGAUAUAUCCUUCUCACGCCAACAGGAAACUCAAAGAACGAGCUAAUCAAAUUAAAAUUCUAUAUCUUUUUAUUGAGCGUAUUGAAUGUAAUUUGCAGCCCUGCGGUGUGUCUAUUUCAAGAGUUGUUUAGGCUGAAAUGCGAAGGCAGAAGGUUUAAUUUGAUUCAGAGAUUCUAACUAUGAAUGGAGAGUGUGGUAAACUUCAGUAGCAACCUCUUGUCGUCACACUUGCAUUAUGAGAUGAUACACAACCCAUGCCAGGAAUCUUGAAAUCAGAAAUUAGUCAGAACUGCUGCACAAAAUGUGCUGAGGCCGUAAAUAUAGGUCUGCAUUUGUUGUGUGUGCUUUCCCAUUGAAAAUAGCUUUGUAUAUGCAUAAGGAACCUUGAAAGUGUGCAUUCAGUUAAUCAUAUACUUCCAAAAGCAUCACGCUUCAUGUAUUUGACUAAUCCAUGCUGUAUUCGCUCAGCUUCUUUUUUUACGCAGCCCUGUAAUAUUUAUAUGGAAUCUAGCAAUAACUAAGUUGAUGUUCGUGAUAAGGUUAAUUUUAUUAUAAACAAAUGUUAAAUGUGGAUUAUUAACACGUGACCCUGGACCACAAAACCAGUCAUAAGUUGUAGCAAUAGCCAAUAAUACACUGUAUGGGUCAAAAUUAUAGAUUUUUCUUUUAUGCCAAAAUCAUUAGGAUAUUAAGUAAAAAUCAUGUUCCAUUAAGAUAUUUAGUAAAUUUCCAACUGUAAAUAUAUUAACACUUAAUUUUUGAUUAGUAAUAUGCAUCGCUAAGAACUUUAAAGGCGAUUUUCUCAAUAUUUAGAUUUUUUUGCACCCUCAGAUUCCAGAUUUUCCAAUACUUUUAUCUCAGCCAUAUCCUAACAAAUCACACACGAAUGUAAAGCUUAUUUAUUCAGCUUGAUUUUUAAAAAAUUGACCCUUAUGACUGAUUUUGUGGCCCGGGGUCACAUGUAGUCAGAUCAUAAAAAACCUAAGAUAAAACAUGUAAGAUUAUCAGUAGUACACAUCUAUUGGCAGCAAGCUUCAUUUGGCUUAUUAUCGCCUUGAUAUUGCUGCAUAUGAAUGUUAAUUAGUAGUAAAUCACCCGAAAUACCAGAAAUGGGGUAACUCUUGUGUACUACAGAGUGUCUGUGUGUGGAUAAGUGGGCAGCAUUAAGAUUUGGGCGUUCAAGUGUGUCACAAAGCAGUUGCUGAGGAAAAAACCAGGUCAUAUCUCCCUCUCUUUCUGAGCAGAAUGGAUAUUUUACAACACCACUGAGACUGAACUAUCAGUUUGCAUAGGGCGUAUACAGAAGAACACCUUACAUAAGUUUCUCUAUAGGGAGCUGGCAGGGAAGUACUCGAUGAAAUAGCUUAAAUGACAAGCAUUAAAUAGCCAAAGGCUACUUUUUAUUUUUCGAGGCUUCUCGUGUCCUUAUCUGUCCCGAUUUGGGUGCUUCCCCUCAACUGGCAGAGGCAAACGCGCUUCUCUCCUCAGAACACAUAGACGUUUUUAAACGUGCAGUUUCAGCGAAUAUAAGAUUGUUUCGUGUCGUUUUGAUGAUAAUGAAAAAAAUGUUUCUUCCAGUAAAAUCUUUCUAUCUCCCACCUUCAAAACCGCUCUCCAAGUCCAUGUUCCCGGCAUGCACAUGCGAGCUGGGGGCGGCUCUUACGAUUUGAAUGAGGAGAGUCACUUUCGGCGCCAUUUUCGAGUGAGCGGCGAUAACAUCAACACUGAGCGCGCGCACAGAGGGACAGUGCGCGCGACGCUUCGUCUUAAAAAAUAACACUUAUUAUCUGAAUGAGGGAAAAACGGCUCGGUCGGAUCACGUUUAGAGAGUAAAAUCGCCCGCGAUGUAGUGUCGACGAGCACAGAAGUGACCAAUACGAAGCGAUUGUGGAGCCGAAGGAGAAAAGGGGGCUAUCGUUCAGCUGCGUAUAUGGGAAAACCUGCGAUUUUUAAAAAAUAAUACAUAAAAAUAUCGCUCGAUGCAGGGAAAAAUAUAGAAAAAUUCUGGAAAAUACCCGAGGGUCUUAGGAGUGGGAUUCAGCGCGGCGGUGGUGAAGAUUGUGUCUUUUUGGUCUUUUUUCACGUCGCUUUUUGAGCGGGAGUAACGGACGAGCUGCUGGCGCAGAUACACGCAGUUCAGUCCGAGUCUGUGAUGCAUCAGACACUCAACUCAGAUUAUACAGGAGACAUCAACCAUUUUAGCCGGAAAGGAAUGUCGAGCACACGGCAUGACACUGAGCUGUGACACAGUCAAGUAACUGUUGCGAAACGAGGAGCGUGUAUGUGCGGCUGUGUGGGCGCGCGCAUCGCGUGAGUGCGUGUGCGCGCGCUCUGUGCGGGGCCUGUCGGUACUGUAGCAGCACAGAAUGGUUUGUGAGUUAUA